AGACAAGCUACUAAGGGCACAUGGUGGAUGCCUUGGCACCAAGAGCCGAUGAAGGACGUAGGAACCUGCGAUAAGCCCCGGGAAGUUGGUAACCAAGCUGUGAUCCGGGGAUUUCCGAAUGGGGAAACCCAGCUGGAGUCAUGUCCAGUUACCUCUGUCUGAACACAUAGGACAGUUGGAGGGAACACCGGGAAGUGAAACAUCUCAGUACCGGUAGGAAGAGAAAACAAAAGUGAUUCCGAGAGUAGUGGCGAGCGAAAUCGGAAGAGGCCAAACUCGUGCAGUGUGAUAGCCGGCAGGCGUUGCUGUUCGAGGGUUGUGGGGCCGUCACGUCGGAUCUGCCGAUCCGACACAGAGUUAGAAACCAUCGUUGAAGUCGAAAUGGAUUGGAAAGUCCUGGCGUAGAGGGUGAUACCCCCGUACACGUAAGACGAUGGCUCUGAGACGUCACCCCAAGUAACACGGAACCCCUGAAAUUCCGUGUGAAUCUGGCGGGACCACCCGUUAAGCCUAAAUACUCCUUGGUGACCGAUAGCGGACAAGUACCGUGAGGGAAAGGUGAAAAGUACCCCUGGCGGGGAGUGAAAUAGUACCUGAAACCAUGUGCCUACAAACCGUUGGAGCGGGGAUUCGUCCCUGUGACAGCGUGCCUUUUGAAGAAUGAGCCUGCGAGUUUGCGUUGUGUUGCGAGGUUAACCCGUGUGGGGAAGCCGUAGCGAAAGCGAGUCCGAAUAGGGCGUUUGAGUAGCACGAUCAAGACCCGAAGCGAAGUGAUCUAUCCAUGGGCAGGUUGAAGCGCGGGUAAGACCGCGUGGAGGACCGAACCCACUUAGGUUGAAAACUGAGGGGAUGACCUGUGGAUAGGGGUGAAAGGCCAAUCAAACUUCGUGAUAGCUGGUUCUCCCCGAAAUGCAUUUAGGUGCAGCGUCGCGUGUUUCUUGCUGGAGGUAGAGCACUGGAUAGCCGAUGGGCCCUACAAGGUUACUGACGUUAACCAAACUCCGAAUGCCAGUAAGUGAGAGCGCGGCAGUGAGACUGCGGGGGAUAAGCUCCGUAGUCGAGAGGGAAACAGCCCAGACCAUCAGCUAAGGUCCCUAAGCGAUAACUAAGUGGAAAAGGAUGUGGAGUCGCACAGACAACCAGGAGGUUGGCUUGGAAGCAGCCACCCUUGAAAGAGUGCGUAAUAGCUCACUGGUCAAGUGAUUCCGCGCCGACAAUGUAGCGGGGCUCAAGUUAUCCACCGAAGCUAUGGCAUUCAUGCGUAAGACAGGCCUUUGUGGUCCAGUUGCAUGGAUGGGUAGGGGAGCGUCGUGUGGGCAGUGAAGCGGCGGAGUGAUCCAGCCGUGGAGGCCACACGAGUGAGAAUGCAGGCAUGAGUAGCGAAUGACUGGCGAGAAACCAGUCCGCCGAAUGAUCAAGGGUUCCAGGGUCAAGCUAAUCUGCCCUGGGUAAGUCGGGACCUAAGGCGAGGCCGACAGGCGUAGUCGAUGGACAACGGGUUGAUAUUCCCGUACCGGCAAAAUAGCGCCCAUGACGAACCUAGUGAUGCUAAGUGCCCAAAACCACCGGGAUCCUUCGGGACGAUGGUGGCAGAGCGCACGACCCGAACUAGUAGUAGUCAAGCGAUGGGGUGACGCAGGAAGGUAGUCCAACCGUGGCGAUGGUUGCCCACGGCUAAGGGUGUAGGGCGAACGGUAGGCAAAUCCGCCGUUCAUGUGCCUGAGACCUGAUGGGGAGUCCGUAUGGACGAAGUGGAUGAUCCUAUGCUGUCGAGAAAAACCUCUAGCGAGCUAUGCGCCGCCCGUACCCCAAACCGACUCAGGUGAUCAGGUAGAGAAUNAGGGGGGCCGGAUUCGUGAUGGGACUUGCUCCCGGAAGCGAUGAAGGCCGCAGAGACCAGGCCCAAGCGACUGUUUACUAAAAACACAGGUCCGUGCGAAGUCGUAAGACGAUGUAUACGGACUGACUCCUGCCCGGUGCUGGAAGGUUAAGGGGACCUGUUAGAACUUCGGUUCGAAGCGGAGAACUUAAGCCCCAGUAAACGGCGGUGGUAACUAUAACCAUCCUAAGGUAGCGAAAUUCCUUGUCGGGUAAGUUCCGACCUGCACGAAUGGAGUAACGACUUGGGCGCUGUCUCAACCGUGGACUCGGCGAAAUUGCAGUACGAGUAAAGAUGCUCGUUACGCGCGGCAGGACGGAAAGACCCCGGGACCUUUACUAUAGUUUGGUAUUGGUGUUUGGUUCGGCUUGUGUAGGAUAGGUGGGAGACUGUGAAACGGCGACGCCAGUUGUCGUGGAGUCAACGUUGAAAUACCACUCUGGUCGUACUAGAUAUCUAACCUAGGUCCAUUAUCUGGAUCAGGGACAGUGCCUGAUGGGUAGUUUAACUGGGGCGGUUGCCUCCUAAAAUGUAACGGAGGCGCUCAAAGGUUCCCUCAGCCUGGUUGGCAAUCAGGUUUCGAGUGUAAGUGCACAAGGGAGCUUGACUGUGAGAGUGACAACUCGAGCAGGGACGAAAGUCGGAACUAGUGAUCCGGCGCUGGCAUGUGGAAGCGGCGUCGCUCAACGGAUAAAAGGUACCCCGGGGAUAACAGGCUGAUCUUCCCCAAGAGUCCAUAUCGACGGGAUGGUUUGGCACCUCGAUGUCGGCUCGUCGCAUCCUGGGGCUGGAGUAGGUCCCAAGGGUUGGGCUGUUCGCCCAUUAAAGCGGCACGCGAGCUGGGUUUAGAACGUCGUGAGACAGUUCGGUCCCUAUCCGCCGCGCGCGCAGGAAACUUGAGAAAGGCUGUCCCUAGUACGAGAGGACCGGGAUGGACGAACCUCUGGUGUGCCAGUUGUUCCGCCAGGAGCACGGCUGGUUAGCUACGUUCGGAAGUGAUAACCGCUGAAUGCAUCUAAGCGGGAAGCACGUUUCAAGAUGAGGUUUCCCACCGGGUUAACCGGGUAAGGUCCCCAGUAGACUACUGGGUUGAUAGGCCGGAGGUGUACAGCAGCAAUGCCUAGCCGACCGGUACUAAUAGACCGAGGGCUUGUCCCU
Molecule: ribosomal RNA, 3037 nt
Filed under: Nocardioides sp. Root151
Lineage: Bacteria; Bacillati; Actinomycetota; Actinomycetes; Propionibacteriales; Nocardioidaceae
Description: Bacterial large subunit ribosomal RNA
Rfam family: Bacterial large subunit ribosomal RNA
Source: Rfam by way of RNAcentral